UGGGGAAUCUUGCACAAUGGGGGAAACCCUGAUGCAGCGACGCCGCGUGAACGAUGAAGCCCUUCGGGGUGUAAAGUUCUUUCGGCAGGGACGAUAAUGACGGUACCUGCAGAAGCAGCUGCGGCUAACUACGUGCCAGCAGCCGCGGUAAUACGUAGGCAGCAAGCGUUGUUCGGAAUUACUGGGCGUAAAGAGUGCGUAGGCGGUUGGCUAAGUUUGGUGUGAAAUCUCCCGGCUCAACUGGGAGGGUGCGCCGAAAACUGGCUGGCUAGAGUGCGGGAGAGGAUAGUGGAAUUCCUGGUGUAGCGGUGAAAUGCGUAGAUAUCAGGAGGAACACCUGAGGUGUAGACGGCUAUCUGGACCGUAACUGACGCUGAGGCACGAAAGCGUGGGGAGCAAACA
Molecule: ribosomal RNA, 402 nt
Filed under: uncultured prokaryote
Description: bacterial SSU rRNA
Rfam family: Bacterial small subunit ribosomal RNA
Source: RNAcentral